GAACGCUGGCGGCGUGCCUAAUACAUGCAAGUCGAGCGAACGGACGAGAAGCUUGCUUCUCUGAUGUUAGCGGCGGACGGGUGAGUAACACGUGGAUAACCUACCUAUAAGACUGGGAUAACUUCGGGAAACCGGAGCUAAUACCGGAUAAUAUUUUGAACCGCAUGGUUCAAAAGUGAAAGACGGUCUUGCUGUCACUUAUAGAUGGAUCCGCGCUGCAUUAGCUAGUUGGUAAGGUAACGGCUUACCAAGGCAACGAUGCAUAGCCGACCUGAGAGGGUGAUCGGCCACACUGGAACUGAGACACGGUCCAGACUCCUACGGGAGGCAGCAGUAGGGAAUCUUCCGCAAUGGGCGAAAGCCUGACGGAGCAACGCCGCGUGAGUGAUGAAGGUCUUCGGAUCGUAAAACUCUGUUAUUAGGGAAGAACAUAUGUGUAAGUAACUGUGCACAUCUUGACGGUACCUAAUCAGAAAGCCACGGCUAACUACGUGCCAGCAGCCGCGGUAAUACGUAGGUGGCAAGCGUUAUCCGGAAUUAUUGGGCGUAAAGCGCGCGUAGGCGGUUUCUUAAGUCUGAUGUGAAAGCCCACGGCUCAACCGUGGAGGGUCAUUGGAAACUGGAAAACUUGAGUGCAGAAGAGGAAAGUGGAAUUCCAUGUGUAGCGGUGAAAUGCGCAGAGAUAUGGAGGAACACCAGUGGCGAAGGCGACUUUCUGGUCUGUAACUGGCUGAUGUGCGAAAGCGUGGGGAUCAAACAGGAUUAGAUACCCUGGUAGUCCACGCCGUAAACGAUGAUGCUAAGUGUUAGGGGGUUUCCGCCCCUUAGUGCUGCAGCUAACGCAUUAAGCACUCCGCCUGGGGAGUCGACCGCAAGGUUGAAACUCAAAGGAAUUGACGGGGACCCGCACAAGCGGUGGAGCAUGUGGUUUAAUUCGAAGCAACGCGAAGAACCUUACCAAAUCUUGACAUCCUUGACAACUCUAGAGAUAGAGCUUUCCCCUUCGGGGGACAAAGUGACAGGUGGUGCAUGGUUGUCGUCAGCUCGGUCGUGAGAUGUUGGGUUAAGUCCCGCAACGAGCGCAACCCUUAAGCUUAGUUGCCAUCAUUAAGUUGGGCACUCUAAGUUGACUGCCGGUGACAAACCGGAGGAAGGUGGGGAUGACGUCAAAUCAUCAUGCCCCUUAUGAUUUGGGCUACACACGUGCUACAAUGGACAAUACAAAGGGCAGCGAAACCGCGAGGUCAAGCAAAUCCCAUAAAGUUGUUCUCAGUUCGGAUUGUAGUCUGCAACUCGACUACAUGAAGCUGGAAUCGCUAGUAAUCGUAGAUCAGCAUGCUACGGUGAAUACGUUCCCGGGUUUUGUACACACCGCCCGUCACACCACGAGAGUUUGUAACACCCGAAGCCGGUGGAGUAACCUUUUAGGAGCUAGCCGUCGAAGGUGGGACAAAUGAUUGGG
Molecule: ribosomal RNA, 1462 nt
Filed under: Staphylococcus aureus
Lineage: Bacteria; Bacillati; Bacillota; Bacilli; Caryophanales; Staphylococcaceae
Description: partial 16S ribosomal RNA
Rfam family: Bacterial small subunit ribosomal RNA
Source: RNAcentral